This 441-nucleotide ribosomal RNA is filed under the name uncultured bacterium. RNAcentral describes it as "partial 16S ribosomal RNA". It matches the Rfam family "Bacterial small subunit ribosomal RNA", at positions 338 to 795 of the family's 1533-position model. The record is from RNAcentral.
CCUACGGGAGGCAGCAGUGGGGAAUAUUGCGCAAUGGGGGGAACCCUGUUGCAGCGACGCCGCGUGGGUGAAGGAGUGCUUCGGCAUGUAAAGCCCUAUCGGCAGGGAAGAAGCAAGACGGUACCUGACUAAGAAGCCCCGGCUAACUACGUGCCAGCAGCCGCGGUAAUACGUAGGGGGCGAGCGUUAUCCGGAUUCACUGGGUGGAAAGGGAGCGUAGACGGCCAUGCAAGCCAGGGGUGAAAGCCCGGGGCCCAACCCCGGGACUGCCCUUGGAACUGCAUGGCUGGAGUGCGGGAGGGGCAGGCGGAAUUCCUGGUGUAGCGGUGAAAUGCGUAGAUAUCAGGAGGAACACCGGCGGCGAAGGCGGCCUGCUGGACCGCGACUGACGUUGAGGCUCGAAAGCGUGGGGAGCGAACAGGAUUAGAUACCCGGGUAGUC